This is a long non-coding RNA of Scophthalmus maximus (turbot), 334 nucleotides long. RefSeq lists it as uncharacterized. The transcript has 3 exons. NCBI's taxonomy places the organism in Eukaryota, Metazoa, Chordata, Actinopteri, Pleuronectiformes, Scophthalmidae. The record is from RefSeq and is a predicted model, not a curated record.
GCAGCCCUGCAGAGAUGAACCUGCCCGCUCGCCAAGGCCUCCAUCUGCCUUGCAGCCCUGCAAGGAAUAUCCGUUGUACACCACACUUACACUCUGCCCCAUGCCGCUCUGCUUGGUCCACGCCAACGCCAACGCUGCUGGAGACUAAACAGGCAUAUAGAGGAGCAUCGGUCGCAACAACACAGCAGAACAAAGGUUCACAGCCAUCCCAUCACCCACACAACGCCUAAACCAGCUCUCCAUCCACCUUCCUCACAAGGGGAAGACCAGAAACCCAGAGAAAGUGGAGUACUUCCAGCCUCCCAUCAGGUUGCCUCUCUCCAGUCUGAGGUAG